CAGCGCUAAACUGACGUUAGGGUUUUUGCGUUUGAAACGCAAUAACAAUGGCGCCGUUCGGGUGCAUCAAGCCUGCAAUAUUCGGCAAAAACAAUCUCACAUUCGCGGUUUCAACGCCUACAAUCGCCACAAAAGUUCUUGAACGAUUGUGUAAUGAUUGUGGAGGUGGAGAUAACAAUGAUCCCAGUGAUGAAACAUUUAGUAAUCAGAAAAUGAGGGUGAAACAGAGGUGAGAAGAGUUGGCGCUCCCUUUCAAUGGUAGAGAGGUUGAGGAACCAAACAAACACGACCCCUUGUAUUUCACUUUCAUGGUUAGUUGAUACUUGGCAACUCUUGAGGGAUCAUUCUUCCUUAUUCUUUCUCGGAUGGUAAUGGGUAUUGCUUGUUUGACAAAAUAAAUGGAUGAAACUCCUAUGUUCAUCUGUUUAAUAAAAUAGACCAUGCAAACUUCAAGCUUUAGUUAUUGUCGUGUCUAGGUUCUUCAAGUUUUCUAUUUUCAUAACUGCAUAGAAGGGCCAUGUGUUUACGUCUCUGUAUUACUGAAUCAUUCAUUCGGGAUAUAGAUAUAGUCUUACAUUGUAUACAUUGGUCUGUCAUCGAUUGUUCUAGAUACUCAUUGUCAUGUGUUAACUUGCCGAUUAACAAGACGAUUGAACUCAGAGUUGCAGAAUGGGAGAGUCACAUCCAUAUAUGAUAAAUUCAUGAGUAUUCAAUAAAGCCAAUUCAGGAUUGCAGAAUUGCACCAUCCACCAUGCCAAGUACAGUGCCAAAUUCUUUAGCAUAUAUUGGUGGCUGCAAUUAACAUAAACUCAGAAAGCUUAAGACAAUCAACAAGAAGUUAGGUUAUAUUUUGUCCUAUGUUAGGUUGCUACAGUCAACCUAAGAUCAAGGCUGUCAACUAUUCUAUUACAACCUUUUUUAACAUUUUAGCUAACUUCUUACUGUUUGAGGUUGGUUACCAUGUGAAUAAAUGGUGCAAAAAUCAAUAUGCUUUUUGUUUCCCCUUAAAAGUUCACAUUCUCCAGACUGUCAGAGAAAAACGGUGCAGUUACUAUUCGAAACCUUUAAUGUCUCGGGAUUUUAUGCGUUGGAGCGAGCAGUAUUAUCUCUCUAUGUUGUCGGGCAUAUCUCAGGUUGUACUGUUGAUAUUGGUCAUGGGAAGAUAGGUACAUACCUGUAUGCCUUUUAAGAGUGUAGUGUUUAAGUUUUUGGCUGCUUGAUUCAUGUUCUUUGUGGACAUCACCAGUCUUUUUCCUAAUAGCAGUGGAAGCAUGACCAACAUGAACCUGGCUUUGAAGUCUUUUUAAAAUGCAUUAAGUAUUUAGCUGUCAAGAGUUUGUUUACCUCAUAGAGUUGGAAGUUAGCUGUGGAUGAUGUAUCAGGAAACACUUUCAGUUGUCUUUAAGCUACAAAGGCUUCUUUUGUUUAUUUAAUUGAUUAUAUUGCCAUGUCAGUUACACUUUUAUCAACAGAAAUAGCUACAGAACUGGAAGAUGUUGUCCAACAAAUUGCCUGAAGAAGAUUUGAAGUCGGAGGUAGUGAUUCGACAAGUUUUUGCUCAAGAGCUGGGAAAAUCAUAUCCAAUGGUGAACCUCAACAUCUUUGAUGCUGAGAAACUAAAAGAUAAAUUUGCAUGUUGUGCUGAGGAUGAAGUUGCCUAUGCCAGAAAGCUUAUAACAUGCGUGACAGAGGAACAUACCAUUCCUGAUGGACAAGUUUGUCUUUUCCUUUUAUGCUCUCCGUCCCUUGUUUAGGUUUCUGAUUUUUGACUCAAUUCCUUAAAUCUAAAUGUAGACCUAAGUGUAUAAAAGAUUGACAUAAGGACUAAUGGAUAUAAGAAAUUUGCAUAUUAUACUUAAGAAAAAGAAGUGGAAUAUUUUUUAUACUGUAAUAAAUAUAAAAUGAAAGGUCAGGAGAAAGAGAAAGAUAAGAAAAACUGACUAAAAUUAUA
Hibiscus syriacus is the source of this 1951-nucleotide long non-coding RNA. RefSeq lists it as uncharacterized. The transcript is spliced from 3 exons. The record is from RefSeq and is a predicted model, not a curated record. NCBI's taxonomy places the organism in Eukaryota, Viridiplantae, Streptophyta, Magnoliopsida, Malvales, Malvaceae.